GACGAACGCUGGCGGCGUGCCUAAUACAUGCAAGUUGAGCGCUGAAGGUUGGUACUUGUACCAACUGGAUGAGCAGCGAACGGGUGAGUAACGCGUGGGGAAUCUGCCUUUGGGCGGGGGACAACAUUUGGAAACGAAUGCUAAUACCGCAUAAAAACUUUAAACACAAGUUUUAAGUUUGAAAGAUGCAAUUGCAUCACUCAAAGAUGAUCCCGCGUUGUAUUAGCUAGUUGGUGAGGUAAAGGCUCACCAAGGCGAUGAUACAUAGCCGACCUGAGAGGGUGAUCGGCCACAUUGGGACUGAGACACGGCCCAAACUCCUACGGGAGGCAGCAGUAGGGAAUCUUCGGCAAUGGACGAAAGUCUGACCGAGCAACGCCGCGUGAGUGAAGAAGGUUGUCGGAUCGUAAAACUCUGUUGGUAGAGAAGAACGUUGGUGAGAGUGGAAAGCUCAUCAAGUGACGGUAACUACCCAGAAAGGGACGGCUAACUACGUG
This 497-nucleotide ribosomal RNA is filed under the name uncultured bacterium. Its description in RNAcentral is "partial 16S ribosomal RNA". It matches the Rfam family "Bacterial small subunit ribosomal RNA", at positions 28 to 507 of the family's 1533-position model. The record is from RNAcentral.